RNAcentral lists this ribosomal RNA (248 nucleotides) under uncultured bacterium. Its description in RNAcentral is "partial 16S ribosomal RNA". It matches the Rfam family "Bacterial small subunit ribosomal RNA", at positions 57 to 305 of the family's 1533-position model. The record is from RNAcentral.
GCAAGUCGAACGGUAACAGCAGAGCUUGCUCUGGCUGACAAGUGGCGGACGGGUGCGUAACGCGUGGGAAUCUACCUUGUAGUGGGGGAUAGCCCGGAGAAAUCCGGAUUAAUACCGCAUAAUCUCUACGGAGCAAAGUGGGGGAUCUUCGGACCUCACGCUAUUAGAUGAGCCCGCGUUAGAUUAGCUUGUUGGUGAGGUAAUGGCUCACCAAGGCGACGAUCCGUAGCUGGUUUGAGAGAACGACC